GAUGAACGCUGGCGGCGUGCCUAAUACAUGCAAGUCGAGCGAACGGACGAGAAGCUUGCUUCUCUGAUGUUAGCGGCGGACGGGUGAGUAACACGUGGAUAACCUACCUAUAAGACUGGGAUAACUUCGGGAAACCGGAGCUAAUACCGGAUAAUAUUUUGAACCGCAUGGUUCAAAAGUGAAAGACGGUCUUGCUGUCACUUAUAGAUGGAUCCGCGCUGCAUUAGCUAGUUGGUAAGGUAACGGCUUACCAAGGCAACGAUGCAUAGCCGACCUGAGAGGGUGAUCGGCCACACUGGAACUGAGACACGGUCCAGACUCCUACGGGAGGCAGCAGUAGGGAAUCUUCCGCAAUGGGCGAAAGCCUGACGGAGCAACGCCGCGUGAGUGAUGAAGGUCUUCGGAUCGUAAAACUCUGUUAUUAGGGAAGAACAUAUGUGUAAGUAACUGUGCACAUCUUGACGGUACCUAAUCAGAAAGCCACGGCUAACUACGUGCCAGCAGCCGCGGUAAUACGUAGGUGGCAAGCGUUAUCCGGAAUUAUUGGGCGUAAAGCGCGCGUAGGCGGUUUUUUAAGUCUGAUGUGAAAGCCCACGGCUCAACCGUGGAGGGUCAUUGGAAACUGGAAAACUUGAGUGCAGAAGAGGAAAGUGGAAUUCCAUGUGUAGCGGUGAAAUGCGCAGAGAUAUGGAGGAACACCAGUGGCGAAGGCGACUUUCUGGUCUGUAACUGACGCUGAUGUGCGAAAGCGUGGGGAUCAAACAGGAUUAGAUACCCUGGUAGUCCACGCCGUAAACGAUGAGUGCUAAGUGUUAGGGGGUUUCCGCCCCUUAGUGCUGCAGCUAACGCAUUAAGCACUCCGCCUGGGGAGUACGACCGCAAGGUUGAAACUCAAAGGAAUUGACGGGGACCCGCACAAGCGGUGGAGCAUGUGGUUUAAUUCGAAGCAACGCGAAGAACCUUACCAAAUCUUGACAUCCUUUGACAACUCUAGAGAUAGAGCUUUCCCCUUCGGGGGACAAAGUGACAGGUGGUGCAUGGUUGUCGUCAGCUCGUGUCGUGAGAUGUUGGGUUAAGUCCCGCAACGAGCGCAACCCUUAAGCUUAGUUGCCAUCAUUAAGUUGGGCACUCUAAGUUGACUGCCGGUGACAAACCGGAGGAAGGUGGGGAUGACGUCAAAUCAUCAUGCCCCUUAUGAUUUGGGCUACACACGUGCUACAAUGGACAAUACAAAGGGCAGCGAAACCGCGAGGUCAAGCAAAUCCCAUAAAGUUGUUCUCAGUUCGGAUUGUAGUCUGCAACUCGACUACAUGGAGCUGGAAUCGCUAGUAAUCGUAGAUCAGCAUGCUACGGUGAAUACGUUCCCGGGUCU
This 1372-nucleotide ribosomal RNA is filed under the name uncultured bacterium. RNAcentral's name for it is "bacterial SSU rRNA". It matches the Rfam family "Bacterial small subunit ribosomal RNA", at positions 28 to 1381 of the family's 1533-position model. The record is from RNAcentral.